UACGUAGGGACCAAGCGUUGUCCGGAAUCAUUGGGCGUAAAGAGCGUGUAGGCGGCUUGUUAAGUCUUGCGUGAAAUCUCGGGGCUCAACCCCGAGCGGUCGUGAGAAACUGGCAGGCUAGAGUGCGGGAGAGGAGAGUGGAAUUCCUGGUGUAGCGGUGAAAUGCGCAGAUAUCAGGAGGAACACCGGUGGCGAAGGCGGGUCUCUGGGCAACAACUGACGCUGAGGAGCGAAAGCGUGGGGAGCGAACAGG
Molecule: ribosomal RNA, 253 nt
Filed under: uncultured bacterium
Lineage: Bacteria
Description: partial 16S ribosomal RNA
Rfam family: Bacterial small subunit ribosomal RNA
Source: RNAcentral